This 202-nucleotide ribosomal RNA is filed under the name uncultured bacterium. RNAcentral's name for it is "partial 16S ribosomal RNA". It matches the Rfam family "Bacterial small subunit ribosomal RNA", at positions 328 to 540 of the family's 1533-position model. The record is from RNAcentral.
ACGCUCGACACCUACGGGAGGUAGCAGCCGGGAAUAUUGCGCAAUGGAGGAAACUCUGACGCAGUGACGCCGCGUGCAGGAAGAAGGUUUUCGGAUUGUAAACUGCUUUAGACAGGGAAGAAAGAAAUGACAGUACCUGUAGAAUAAGCUCCGGCUAACUACGUGCCAGCAGCCGCGGUAAUCUGAGGCGGCUGGCGAAGGC